UUGGAGGGCAAGUCUGGUGCCAGCAGCCGCGGUAAUUCCAGCUCCAAUAGCGUAUAUUAAAGUUGUUGCAGUUAAAAAGCUCGUAGUUGAAUUUCGGGGUCAGUAGGUUGGUCGUGCCACUGGUACGUACUGGUCUCACUGAUUCCUCCUUCCUGAUGAACCGUAAUGCCAUUAAUUUGGUGUUGCGGGGAAACUGGACUGUUACUUUGAAAAAAAUUAGAGUGUUUAAAGCAGGCUAACGCUUGAAUACAUUAGCAUGGAAUAAUGAAAUAGGACGUUCGAUCCUAUUUUGUUGGUUUCUAGGAUUGACGUAAUGAUUAAUAGGGACAGUUGGGGGCAUUAGUAUUCAAUUGUCAGAGGUGAAAUUCUUGGAUUUAUUGAAGACUAACUACUGCGAAAGCAUUUGCCAAGGAUGUUUUCAUUAAUCAAGAACGAAAGUUAGGGGAUCGAAGACGAUCAGAUACCGUCGUAGUCUUAACCAUAAACUAUGCCGACUAGGGAUCGGAUGAUGUUAAUUUUUUAAUGACUCAUUCGGCGCCUUACGGGAAAC
Molecule: ribosomal RNA, 550 nt
Filed under: uncultured Glomus
Lineage: Eukaryota; Fungi; Glomeromycota; Glomeromycetes; Glomerales; Glomeraceae
Description: SSU rRNA
Rfam family: Eukaryotic small subunit ribosomal RNA
Source: RNAcentral